CAACUACUCCCUCUGUCCCAAAUUUCUUGUCUUAGCUUUGUCUAGAUACGGAUGUAUCUAAUACUAAAAUGUGACUUGAUACAUCCGUAUCUAGACAAAUCUAAGACAAGAAUUUUGGGACGGAGGGAGUACUUU
This is a non-coding RNA of Triticum aestivum (bread wheat), 135 nucleotides long. NCBI's taxonomy places the organism in Eukaryota, Viridiplantae, Streptophyta, Magnoliopsida, Poales, Poaceae. The record is from Rfam.